UACGGGGGGUGCAAGCGUUGUCCGGAAUCAUUGGGCGUAAAGCGUUCGUAGGCGGUAUGUCAAGUCUGAUGUUAAAGCCCGGGGCUCAACUCCGGUUCGGCAUUGGAUACUGGCAAACUAGAAUGUGGUAGAGGUAAAGGGAAUUCCUGGUGUAGCGGUGAAAUGCGUAGAUAUCACGCAGAACCCCGAUUGCGAAGGCAGCAUACCGGUGCACAACUGACGCUCAGGCACGAAAGCGUGGGUAUCGAACAGG
Molecule: ribosomal RNA, 253 nt
Filed under: uncultured bacterium
Lineage: Bacteria
Description: partial 16S ribosomal RNA
Rfam family: Bacterial small subunit ribosomal RNA
Source: RNAcentral